Molecule: ribosomal RNA, 326 nt
Filed under: uncultured soil bacterium
Lineage: Bacteria
Description: bacterial SSU rRNA
Rfam family: Bacterial small subunit ribosomal RNA
Source: RNAcentral
AGAAUCAACGCUGGCGGCGUGCCUAACACAUGCAAGUCGAACGCGAAAGCCCCUUCGGGGGUAAGUAGAGUGGCGUCCGGGUGAGUAACACGUGGGUAAUCUGCCUUCGGGUGGGGAAUAACCCAGGGAAACUUGGGCUAAUACCGCAUAAUGCAGCGGCACCUAAUGGUGAUUAGUUGUUAAAGCGGGGGAUCGCAAGACCUCGCGCCUGAAGAGGAGCCUGCGGCAGAUUAGCUAGUUGGUGAGGUAAUGGCUCACCAAGGCAUCGAUCUGUAGCUGGUCUGAGAGGACGGCCAGCCACACUGGCACUGACACACGGGCAGACU